RNAcentral lists this long non-coding RNA (1839 nucleotides) under Hordeum vulgare. Its description in RNAcentral is "long non-coding RNA (HVUL_LNC019747)". Lineage: Eukaryota; Viridiplantae; Streptophyta; Magnoliopsida; Poales; Poaceae. The record is from RNAcentral.
UUUUUUAAACCUAUUAGGCUACUAACAGUUCAAAGCAUCCAUCAGAUGCACAUCACUAAUAUAUCAAGGUACCAUGAGCAUGUGGCCAACACACAUAAAUAAUGCAUACUACGUAGUUACCAAUUAAACACACUAAAAUCGUGUUCCUAUAAAUGCGACUUGUAACAUUUUAUCGUCUAAACAUAGAACAGUUUGCAUCAUUUCAAUGUCUGAAACAACGAACCAACAGAUCGUUUCAUGUUCAUUAAGUACAACGACUGAAGUAUUUCAUCAAGCUAAGAACCAAGUACGUUGUAAAUAAAAUGUAUGGAGAUAUCAAUUCCUCUUGAGGCAGUAGAUGGAUGUCCGGGAUCAAUGGAAAACCAUUAGUUGAGCGCAUAUGCACUAGUUUGGGAUAUCUUUUUUCCAUCAGCCUUCACAGGGUCACGGUAGUGCUGUGAACCCACCGCGCAAAGCCGCGGUAUACACCAUCGCCGUAUCUAGAAACACCGUCCACCCAGUCCCACUUGCCACCGCUGCUCCCUACGUCGUCCUCCUCCCACAUUGCCAGCUUCCCGCGAACGUGCUUUCCGCCAAACCACACCUUGCCAUCACCCCCAAACACCUUUACCUUGUUGUUGCCGUCGGCAACAGGGGCGGGGAGCAUGGUGCUUCCCUGUGCAGCAGCCUCGUAGAGGCCAGUGAAGCAGCGGUACAUAUUGGGGGGCAUGCGGCCAACCUCGUCCCACUCCAUGGUGGCCAGAUCCAGUCGGAGGAUAAGCACCGUGGAGCAAGGCACAUCGAGGGCGAAGGACGACCUCAGACCGCCGAUCAUGAGGACGCGGCGCCCCCCCGUGCCGGGCAGCAGGCGGGGGCGCUUGAGGAUCUCGAAUACGUCACCCGAGGCCCGUGCGUUGCACCGGGUGUAAAAAAAUGCUUAGACAGUUGGAAAAACUACCACUAAAACAACAUUGCAAUCAGUCAAACAACUAUAUAAAAAUAAUUUCGGAGGGACUUUUAUGCAAAAAUGCUGGCGACGUACGGCAAAAGCGCACAAAACUCCCAAAUAAGAGUUGGUUGGUGGCUAACCUACAGGUAAGUUUUGAAGAGGUAUGCCCAUUGGGAUUCCCUACAUGUAGUUUCAGAAUCUCUAUCAGGGCAUCUACCUCAGGGAUCCUAUGACUCAAAUCCAUGACUACCACUGUUACGGCAUCAAAGUAUUGAACAAUGACCACAUUUAUGUACGUCGAGUUAGUUCAUAUACAAUGGCUCUGCAAUCCGUGCGGCCAGUAUAAACACUCGCUGCCUAAAUUAACCCGAUCAUUUGAUGAGCCGUGUCUCAAAUAAAAGUCCAAUCAAGUUGACCUAGAUGCGACACAGGCAACAAAAUACAUAUCACAGAACUCCAAGCACUAAUAGCAGUAAUAGUUGAUACCACUCUAGAUACGAAAAUAAAGAUGGCAUCACAGAAAAAUUUAUACACAACUUCCAAAAUGGUAGCUGAUAAAAAAAGCAAACCUGAUCAUCCAAAUUUAAACCUAUUAGGCUACUAACAGUUCAAAGCAUCCAUCAAAUGCACAUCACUAAUAUAUCAAGGUACCAUGAGCAUGUGGCCAACACACAUUAAUAAUGCAUACUACGUAGUUACCAGUUAAACACACUAAAAUCGUGUUCCUAUAAAUGCGACAUAUAACAUUUUAUCGUCUAAACAUAGAAGAGUCUGCAUCAUUUCAAUGUCUGAAACAACGAACCAACAGAUCAUUUCAUGUUCAUUAAGUACAACAACUGAAGUAUUUCAUCAAGCUAAGAACCAAGUACGAUGUAAAUAAAAUGUAUGGAGAUAUCAAUUCCUCUUGAGGC